AAAAAAAUUUAAAUAUGUAUAUUUUAAUCGAGCUCGAGUUUGAUAUUCUUAUCCUAGCUGUUUCCGUUGCUUCUAAAAAAAAAUAUAGAAUUAGCUUGCAAAUAAAAAAUGACAAUUGAUUGAUUUCUUUUCAAUUCAGAUAUUUACCGUAUAAAAGAAAACGAUAAAAUAAAUAAAAUAGCUUCGGAGAUCAACAAAACCACGGUUGAUGAGCAGUUUAGCACAAGAAUUACCAAAUAACAGCAACCGUUGAAGAAACGAUACGUCGUACGUAGAGGGCGUAUGUGCAAAAUUCCUUUUUAACCUUCCUCCUUUAUUAUGUUUGCAGAAAUUAAUUAACUUACCAGAAAAAAAAAAUGCCGUUUUUUUCAAAACUUUGACAAAGGAACCCAUUCCACUGUGACCGUCGACUGGAUCGUCGAUAUGAAUAUGCGAAUCGAUAAUAAAAGUAAUUCAAAUAAAAACACAAACAAAAUGAAACUAGCCGUUAGGGCUCACAAAUUCAAAUGCACAACACUAAGUUGCCCGUUUGCUUUUUCAUUAAAGAGGAAGAGAAACAAAUCUCUUCUUCUUCGUCCCCAUACCUGCAAAAUCAGUAGAAGCCGCUCUCUCUCUUUCAACACUCCUCUCUCUCUCUCGGAUACUGCAUUGUUCUUAUCCUGGGAUUUCUAUUUUCUUGCGAUUGAAUUAUGGUUGGUUGAUUUCUUUAUUUGAGACGAUUGCUUAAUCUGGACCUGGUACUGCUUAUCGAAAUUAUGGAGAGAGAAAUUAAAGAACUGAGGCGCCAGAGAGAUUUUGCACAAUCUCAAGUGGAUGAGUUGCAGAAAAAACUUCAAGAGGACCAAACGGCUUCAAGCACAUUGGAAUCAACACCACGUCCAUCAGUAAAGAACUGUCUCUCUCUCCUACGCUGAUGCAUUAUUAUGAAAACUUGAGAACAAGUAGAUAAACAGCUGCGACAGAGCAAGGAAAACUAUGGUAGGGCCAUCAUCAACUGCACCUUUUACUCUAAUGCAUGAAAUCCGAAAACUCGAACAUCUCAAGAGCAACUUGGAGCUCUAGAAGUAUUGCAAAAGGAAAGUCAUAGUCUAGGUGACCGAGAUGCAGCGUAGUCCAUUGCCAAGCUGCAAGAGAAAUGCAAUCUAUUCAAAAAAGAUUGUUGAUGCUGUUGAGAAGGAAGAAGAGGAGUUAGAGGAGGUGAGAUUGAUUUGGAUAUGGAACCAGGUGAGAAUGUUAAUAAUGGGGGAUGUUUUCAAUAUGAACAUUGAUGGAUUUUUUAUGAAGUUGCUUUGGAGAGUGUAACUAUAAAAAGAAAAUGAUGCUUUGGAGAGUGUAACUGUAAAAAGUAAGCAAAAUUUGCUCAUGUUCAACUUCUUGAUGAAGUUGUGGGUUGUGGGAUAAGUUGUUCUACAAGUGAUUUUUGUUUUGGUUUGUUGUAGAUCAUUUGAUGCAGUUUGUACAUUGGAGGGCUUGCAGGAAGUUGUUCUGGGAAAUAGCAUUUCCAAUAAAGAUGAUCUUAUUCAAUCGUCAUUCACUGCUGUUCGAGUGAUUAAUUCUGUUUUCUCCUCGAUGAACCAUAUAGUAAGAAAACAUAACAGGGACAGCUUUUCAAGAUGACAAUUUUUGUAAUACUUAUUCUUUCCUAUAGUGAAAGUUUUUACGUCACCAAUGUGGAAUAAUCCCUUAUGUUACAUAUUGUAGACUUCUUUCUCUGGUAAAUAGGUUCCUUCUCUUUUCACCCCUGAGCAUUCUGAAGUGUAAUUUCAAUCAUAGAUCUUGUUGUUUGCUUUGUUACUUGCUAUGGUAUUACUGUCACUUGGGUUGAUUUUCUGUCAUUAAGAAGUCUAGAAGUGGUAUAUGUUUCCGCAGAUUGAGAUCGUGCUUGCCUCUAGAGAUUCUUCUGGCGUUUUUCUGAGUUCUUAGAAGGAUAAUGAUGUGAUUGGUAAAAGUUCCGGUUACAGAACUGAAGGAGUUUCGAAUUUUAAUAAUAUGCUGAUCCAAGUUUCAAAUUUUAAGAAUAGAUCGGCUUUGUUUCCUUUAUUAGACCUCUACAAAGAUCAGAUGAGGUCAAAGUUUUAUCUUUCUUUUUAUGGUUUUUGCGGUACUUGCAUCUAUACCUCUACCAAUUGUAGCAGCUAUCUAUUUCAUCUAGACCAUAUUUAGACAGCUUUUGCUGGCCUUGGUUUCUGUUUAAGUUUUUUUGUAACCUGAACAGUUUCAGAUAGUACUAUAAUCAAAUAGGAUCAAAAUGUGGGUCAUGUUUCCACUGGUUUAUUAGACCUCCACAAAUAUCAGUACCCCAAUAGCCUAAACUUACAUGAACUGACACAUUGCUUACAGUUGUUAAUAUCCAAUGAAUGCUUAAAUUGAAUAUACCCUACCGGGACUCCAAGCUCACUCACAUAUUGCAGCACUCUCUCGGCAGGAAUGCACGAACUGCCAUCAUUUGUAAAUCAUAUACAAAAGGAAGUAACCAGGCUGGAAGCAUAACCAACUCUUGACCCUUCAAAGGAGAAAGACUUGAAAAGUUCAGCAGGUGAGUUUCAGCAGCUUAAUUGUUGUCCAGUGAGAAUGUGCCAUAUAUACAUCUCUUUAUUUGAAACGAGUUUAUCAAUUGCUUAAUCAAAACUGUAUAUUAUUAUGAUAAUUAGUCAAAAAAGGGCUUUUUAUGAAAAAAAGAUUAGGUGGAAAAUGAAUAGAUGGUAAUUAAUGUAACGAUCAAAAUAUUAAAGUUCAUCACUUGAUUUUUUAAUGGUUACCGAGUGAAACAUUUUAUUUUUGUGUUUGUUUAGCUUUUUAUGCGAGUGCAAGUACUAAAUUAACAGGUUGUGUUGCCUCCAAAGACAUGUUUAUUUUCUAUUAUUUAAUAUUAUUCUUAAUUUGCUUUCAA
Ricinus communis (castor bean) is the source of this 2890-nucleotide long non-coding RNA. RefSeq lists it as uncharacterized. NCBI's taxonomy places the organism in Eukaryota, Viridiplantae, Streptophyta, Magnoliopsida, Malpighiales, Euphorbiaceae. The record is from RefSeq and is a predicted model, not a curated record. The transcript is spliced from 4 exons.